RNAcentral lists this small RNA (67 nucleotides) under Planococcus rifietoensis. RNAcentral describes it as "Bacillaceae-1 RNA". The stretch from base 10 to 67 matches the Rfam family "Bacillaceae-1 RNA", at positions 10 to 67 of the family's 67-position model. The record is from Rfam by way of RNAcentral. Lineage: Bacteria; Bacillati; Bacillota; Bacilli; Caryophanales; Caryophanaceae.
AUCUACACUAUCCAUAUUCAAAACGCGACGUCCUGUCGCAUCAGCUGCAUGACCUGCAUCCUGCAGG